GACAGAGGAUGCAAGCGUUAUCCGGAAUGAUUGGGCGUAAAGCGCGUGUAGGCGGUCCGGUAAGUCCGCUGUGAAAGUCGGGGGCUCAACCCUCGAAUGCCGGUGGAUACUGUCGGGCUAGAGUGCGGAAGAGGCGAGUGGAAUUCCUGGUGUAGCGGUGAAAUGCGCAGAUAUCAGGAGGAACACCAAUUGCGAAGGCAGCUCGCUGGGACGUUACUGACGCUGAGACGCGAAAGCGUGGGGAGCAAACAGG
This 253-nucleotide ribosomal RNA is filed under the name uncultured bacterium. RNAcentral's name for it is "partial 16S ribosomal RNA". It matches the Rfam family "Bacterial small subunit ribosomal RNA", at positions 524 to 776 of the family's 1533-position model. The record is from RNAcentral.